Molecule: transfer RNA, 50 nt
Filed under: Swertia lurida
Lineage: Eukaryota; Viridiplantae; Streptophyta; Magnoliopsida; Gentianales; Gentianaceae
Description: partial tRNA-Leu
Source: RNAcentral
UGAAAUUUAUAGUGAGAGGAAAAUCCGUCGACUUUAAAAAUCGUGAGGGU